GCUCUCCGGCUUAACUGGGAGAGCCGGGUCAAUACUUCGGGGCUUGAGGACAGCACAGGGGGUGCAAUUUCCGGUGUACUGGUGAAACGCGUAGAUAUCGGAAGGAACACCAGUGGCGAAGGCGGCCCCCUGGGCUGCUCCUGACGCUGAAGGCGAAAGCUAGGGUAGCGAACGGGAUUAGAAACCCCGGUAGUCCUAGCAGUACACGAUGGAUACUAGGUGUAGGAGGUUUACACUCCUUCUGUGCCGGAGCUUACGCGUUAAGUAUCCCACCUGGGGAGUACGGUCGCAAGGCUAAUACUCAAAGGAAUUGACGGGGGCCCGCACAAGCAGCGGAGCGUCUGGUAUAAUUCGAUGCAACGCGUAGAACCUUACCAGGGCUUGACAUGUAGGUAGUAGUGAAGCGAAAGCGGCACGAUCCUUCGGGAAGCCUACACAGGUGCUGCAUGGCUGUCGUCAGCUCGUACCGUGAGGUGUUAGGUUAAGUCCUGUAACGAGCGCAACCCCUGCCGUUAGUUACAAGUGUCUAACGGACUUGCCCGGCAAAACUGGGAGGAAGGUGGGGACGACGUCAAGUCAGCAUGGCCUUUAUGUCCUGGGCUACACACACGUUACAAUGGUCGGUACAAUGGGUUACCAAGUCGCGAGGCGGAGCCAAUCCUUCAAAGCCGGUCUCAGUUCGAAUUGUAGGCUGCAACCCGCCUGCAUGAAGUUGGAGUUGCUAGUAACCGCAGGUCAGCCACACUCCGGUGACACGUUCCCGGGCAUGUACACACCGCC
This 780-nucleotide ribosomal RNA is filed under the name uncultured organism. RNAcentral describes it as "bacterial SSU rRNA". It matches the Rfam family "Bacterial small subunit ribosomal RNA", at positions 600 to 1394 of the family's 1533-position model. The record is from RNAcentral.